CUUACAACUUUCAGUGAUUGAUGUCUCGGCUCGAGCAAUGAUGAAGGGCGCAGCGAANUGUGAUAAGCAUUGUGAAUUGCAGGAUUCCGUGAGCCAAUAGGGACUUGAACGUACACUGUGCUUUCGGGAUAUCCCUGAAAGCGUGCCUGCUUCAGUGUCC
Molecule: ribosomal RNA, 160 nt
Filed under: Scrippsiella sp. SSND04
Lineage: Eukaryota; Dinophyceae; Peridiniales; Peridiniaceae
Description: 5.8S ribosomal RNA
Rfam family: 5.8S ribosomal RNA
About the family: 5.8S ribosomal RNA (5.8S rRNA) is a component of the large subunit of the eukaryotic ribosome. It is transcribed by RNA polymerase I as part of the 45S precursor that also contains 18S and 28S rRNA.
Source: RNAcentral